RNAcentral lists this RNase P RNA (402 nucleotides) under Priestia endophytica. RNAcentral describes it as "bacterial RNase P". It matches the Rfam family "Bacterial RNase P class B". Rfam says of the family: Ribonuclease P (RNase P) is a ubiquitous endoribonuclease, found in archaea, bacteria and eukarya as well as chloroplasts and mitochondria. Its best characterised activity is the generation of mature 5'-ends of tRNAs by cleaving the 5'-leader elements of precursor-tRNAs. Lineage: Bacteria; Bacillati; Bacillota; Bacilli; Caryophanales; Bacillaceae. The record is from RNAcentral.
GUGGCGUUUUAGGUAAUCGCUGCAUUACUUUGAUAAUGUAGAGGAAAGUCCAUGCUCGCACAAGCUGAGAUGCUUGUAGUGUUCGUGCCUAGCCAAUUCAUAAGCUAGGGUAGCCUUAUAAGGGCUAACGGCGGGGAAACAACCUAAGUCAUUCGAUAUGGUUGGAAUACUCUGAAAGUGCCACAGUGACGUAGUCUCACUAGAAAUAGUGAGAGUGGAACGCGGUAAACCCCUCGAGCGAGAAACCCAAAUAAUGGUAGGGGCAUCUUCCUAAAGGAACCAAACGGAGGGAAGGACGAAAGCUACGUGCUUUCGUAGAUAAAUGAUUACCACCUGAGUACGAGGCUAUAUAGCCGCUUGCAGUACAACGGAACAGAACAUGGCUUACGAAACGCUAUUAUG